CUGUAGCUCAGCUGGAUAGAGCAACGGCCUUCUAAGCCGUGGGUCGGGGGUUCGAGUCCCUCCAG
This 65-nucleotide transfer RNA is filed under the name bovine gut metagenome. It matches the Rfam family "tRNA", at positions 5 to 66 of the family's 71-position model. From Rfam's summary of the family: Transfer RNA (tRNA) molecules are approximately 80 nucleotides in length. Their secondary structure includes four short double-helical elements and three loops (D, anti-codon, and T loops). The record is from RNAcentral.